This 274-nucleotide ribosomal RNA is filed under the name uncultured bacterium. Its description in RNAcentral is "partial 16S ribosomal RNA". It matches the Rfam family "Bacterial small subunit ribosomal RNA", at positions 523 to 796 of the family's 1533-position model. The record is from RNAcentral.
AUACGGAGGGUGCAAGCGUUACUCGGAAUCACUGGGCGUAAAGGACACGUAGGCGGGAAGCCAAGUCUGAUGUGAAAUCCUACAGCUUAACUGUAGAACUGCAUUGGAAACUGGUUACCUAGAGUAUGGGAGGGGGAGAUGGAAUUAGUGGUGUAGGGGUAAAAUCCGUAGAUAUCACUAGGAAUACCUAAAGCGAAGGCGAUCUCCUGGAACAUUACUGACGCUAAGGUGUGAAAGCGUGGGGAGCAAACGGGAUUAGAAACCCUAGUAGUCC